Molecule: ribosomal RNA, 371 nt
Filed under: uncultured bacterium
Lineage: Bacteria
Description: bacterial SSU rRNA
Rfam family: Bacterial small subunit ribosomal RNA
Source: RNAcentral
GGCCGCGGGAAUUCGAUUCAGGCCUAACACAUGCAAGUCGAACGCACUUCUUUUCACCGGAGCUUGCUCCACCGAAAAGAAGUGAGUGGCGGACGGGUGAGUAACACGCGGGCAACCUGCCCACCAGAGGGGGAUAACACUUGGAAACAGGUGCUAAUACCGCAUAAUUGCUUUUGCCGCAUGGCGAAAGUAUGAAAGACGCUUCGGUGUCACUGGUGGAUGGGCCCGCGGUGCAUUAGUUAGUUGGUGGGGUAACGGCCUACCAAGACCAUGAUGCAUAGCCGACCUGAGAGGGUGAUCGGCCACACUGGGACUGAGACACGGCCCAGACUCCUACGGGAGGCAGCAGUAGGGAAUCUUCGGCAAUGGAC